UGAACGCUAUCGACAGGCUUAACACAUGCAAGUCGAGGGGCAGCACAGGUAGCAAUACCGGGUGGCGACCGGCGCACGGGUGAGUAACGCGUAUGCAACUUACCUAUCAGAGGGGGAUAACCCGGCGAAAGUCGGACUAAUACCGCAUGAAGCAGGGGCCCCGCAUGGGGAUAUUUGCUAAAGAUUCAUCGCUGAUAGAUAGGCAUGCGUUCCAUUAGGCAGUUGGCGGGGUAACGGCCCACCAAACCGACGAUGGAUAGGGGUUCUGAGAGGAAGGUCCCCCACAUUGGUACUGAGACACGGACCAAACUCCUACGGGAGGCAGCAGUGAGGAAUAUUGGUCAAUGGCCGAGAGGCUGAACCAGCCAAGUCGCGUGAGGGAUGAAGGUUCUAUGGAUCGUAAACCUCUUUUAUAAGGGAAUAAAGUGCGGGACGUGUCCCGUUUUGUAUGUACCUUAUGAAUAAGGAUCGGCUAACUCCGUGCCAGCAGCCGCGGUAAUACGGAGGAUCCGAGCGUUAUCCGGAUUUAUUGGGUUUAAAGGGUGCGUAGGCGGCCUUUUAAGUCAGCGGUGAAAGUCUGUGGCUCAACCAUAGAAUUGCCGUUGAAACUGGGGGGCUUGAGUAUGUUUGAGGCAGGCGGAAUGCGUGGUGUAGCGGUGAAAUGCAUAGAUAUCACGCAGAACCCCGAUUGCGAAGGCAGCCUGCCAAGCCAUUACUGACGCUGAUGCACGAAAGCGUGGGGAUCAAACAGGAUUAGAUACCCUGGUAGUCCACGCAGUAAACGAUGAUCACUAGCUGUUUGCGAUACACUGUAAGCGGCACAGCGAAAGCGUUAAGUGAUCCACCUGGGGAGUACGCCGGCAACGGUGAAACUCAAAGGAAUUGACGGGGGCCCGCACAAGCGGAGGAACAUGUGGUUUAAUUCGAUGAUACGCGAGGAACCUUACCCGGGUUUGAACGCAUUCGGACCGAGGUGGAAACACCUUUUCUAGCAAUAGCCGUUUGCGAGGUGCUGCAUGGUUGUCGUCAGCUCGUGCCGUGAGGUGUCGGCUUAAGUGCCAUAACGAGCGCAACCCUUGCCACUAGUUACUAACAGGUAAAGCUGAGGACUCUGGUGGGACUGCCAGCGUAAGCUGCGAGGAAGGCGGGGAUGACGUCAAAUCAGCACGGCCCUCACAUCCGGGGCGACACACGUGUUACAAUGGCGUGGACAAAGGGAGGCCACCUGGCGACAGGGAGCGAAUCCCCAAACCACGUCUCAGUUCGGAUCGGAGUCUGCAACCCGACUCCGUGAAGCUGGAUUCGCUAGUAAUCGCGCAUCAGCCAUGGCGCGGUGAAUACGUUCCCGGGCCUUGUACACACCGCCCGUCAAGCCAUGGGAGCCGGGGGUACCUGAAGUCCGUAACCGAAAGGAUCGGCCUAGGGUAAAACUGGUGACUGGGGCU
Molecule: ribosomal RNA, 1445 nt
Filed under: uncultured organism
Description: SSU rRNA
Rfam family: Bacterial small subunit ribosomal RNA
Source: RNAcentral